GCCUUCGUGGUGUAGUGGUCUGCAUGCUAGACGCGUAACCGAGAGGUCCGUGGUUCGAUUCCCGGCGAAGGCG
This is a non-coding RNA of Stegodyphus mimosarum, 73 nucleotides long. The record is from Rfam. NCBI's taxonomy places the organism in Eukaryota, Metazoa, Arthropoda, Arachnida, Araneae, Eresidae.